This 187-nucleotide ribosomal RNA is filed under the name uncultured bacterium. Its description in RNAcentral is "partial 16S ribosomal RNA". It matches the Rfam family "Bacterial small subunit ribosomal RNA", at positions 1309 to 1500 of the family's 1533-position model. The record is from RNAcentral.
AACUCGACUCCACUGAAGCUGGAUUCGCUAGUAAUCGCGCAUCAGCCAUGGCGCGGUGAAUACGUUCCCGGGCCUUGUACACACCGCCCGUCAAGCCAUGGGAGUCGGGAGUGCCUGAAGUUCGUGACCGUCACAGGAGCGACCUAAGGCAAGACCGAUGACUGGGGCUAAGUCGUAACAAGGUAGC